Molecule: ribosomal RNA, 437 nt
Filed under: uncultured Candidatus Brocadia sp.
Lineage: Bacteria; Pseudomonadati; Planctomycetota; Candidatus Brocadiia; Candidatus Brocadiales; Candidatus Brocadiaceae
Description: bacterial SSU rRNA
Rfam family: Bacterial small subunit ribosomal RNA
Source: RNAcentral
GUGACGAAGCGACGCCGCGUGCGGGAAGAAGGCCUUCGGGUUGUAAACCGCUGUCGGGAGUUAGGAAAUGCAAGGAUGUUAAUAGCGUUCUUGCUUGACUAAGGCUCCGGAGGAAGCCACGGCUAACUCUGUGCCAGCAGCCGCGGUAAUACAGAGGCGGCAAGCGUUGUUCGGAAUUAUUGGGCGUAAAGAGCGCGUAGGCGGCUGUGUAAGUCGGUUGUGAAAGCCUUCCGCUUAACGGAAGAACGGCAUCCGAUACUGCAUAGCUUGAGUGCGGGAGGGGAGAGUGGAACUUCUGGUGGAGCGGUGAAAUGCGUAGAUAUCAGAAGGAACACCGGCGGCGAAGGCGACUCUCUGGUCCGUAACUGACGCUGAGUGUGCGAAAGCUAGGGGAGCAAACGGGAUUAGAUACCCCGGUAGUCCUAGCCGUAAACGAU